UUGCUUAACUACUCAAAAAGAGCAUGCCCCUGACACCCUUUUGGAGAUCACAGGGCAUCUUAUGAAAGUCAGUUCUAUCCUUCUACCAUCCGGGUCCCAAGGAUUUAACCAGGGUUUGACAGCAAGUGCUUUUACACCCUUGAACUAUCUCACUGGCCACUAGAUGUUUACAUUAAUAGUUUCAGAACUUGGAACUUGCUAUAGCAAAUUACUCUUCAGAAUUAACUUACUGAUAUUUUUCAUAAGAAUAUGUUCAAUGAUUGAGCACAACUCAGCUAUUUGAACACUUGCCUAGCAUAUGUGAACUUUUUUUUUUUUUUUUGGCUUUGGUUCCCAGUAUAGUUUUAAUGGUGCACACCUUAAUCUCAGCAGUAGGGAGGCAGAGGCAGCGGAUUUCUGAGUUCGAGGCCAGCCUGGUCUACAAAGUGGCUUCCAGGACAGCCAGGGCUAUACAGAGAAACCCUGUCUCGAAAAACCAAAAAAACAAAAACAAAA
RNAcentral lists this long non-coding RNA (495 nucleotides) under Mus musculus (house mouse). RNAcentral describes it as "predicted gene 45570". Lineage: Eukaryota; Metazoa; Chordata; Mammalia; Rodentia; Muridae. The record is from RNAcentral.